AGUGAACGCUGGCGGUAGGCCUAACACAUGCAAGUCGAACGGCAGCACAGUAAGAGCUUGCUCUUACGGGUGGCGAGUGGCGGACGGGUGAGGAAUACAUCGGAAUCUACUUUUUCGUGGGGGAUAACGUAGGGAAAGUUAAGAUAAUAUCGCAUACGACACAGGGGUGAAAGCAGGGGAUCUUCGGCGCUUUCGCGAUUGAAUGAGCCGAUGUCGGACUAGCUAGUUGGCGGGGUAAAGGCCCAGCAAGGCGUGGAUCCGUAGCUGGAGUGAGAGAAUGAUCAGCCACACUGGAGCUGAGACACGGUCCAGGCUCCUACGGGAGGCAGCAGUGGGGAAUGUUGGACAGUGGUCGCGAGCCUGGUCCAACCAUACCACGUCGGAGGAAGAGGCCUUCGGGUUGUAAAGCCCUUUUUUUGGGAAAAAAAAGCAGCAGGUUGAUACGCCGCUGUUCUGACGGUACCCGAAAAAUAAGCACCGGCUAACUACGUG
Molecule: ribosomal RNA, 492 nt
Filed under: uncultured bacterium
Lineage: Bacteria
Description: partial 16S ribosomal RNA
Rfam family: Bacterial small subunit ribosomal RNA
Source: RNAcentral